Molecule: long non-coding RNA, 328 nt
Organism: Saccostrea cuccullata (small rock oyster)
Lineage: Eukaryota; Metazoa; Mollusca; Bivalvia; Ostreida; Ostreidae
Exons: 3
Source: RefSeq, a predicted model, not a curated record
GAUCAAUCUGCAAUCCUCGUCACAAUGGGCAAAGUGUUGGCUGUUUUGAUACUCCUUGUUUGUUUGCUUAGCGUAAUUCAUGCGCGAUAUUAUGGCCAUGGUAAUCAGUGCUACGGAUAUUGUGACCAGUACACGAAUUGUGGUUUUAACGGAUACUGCGACUUCAGAUAUGGUUACAGUGGAUUAUGCUGUAUAUAUGGGGGAGGUCGGCGCUAUUGAGAAGAGUGAGAAGGCACACAGUGAGCUGCUUUAUUGAUGAUAUGCUGACAAAGCCAUAAAAAUGUCUCAAGUAGACAAAUCAAAAUCAUGAAAUAUAUUCAAUUCAGAA